AGAACGAACGCUGGCGGCAUGCCUAAUACAUGCAAGUCGAACGAACUCUUCGGAGUUAGUGGCGCACGGGUGCGUAACGCGUGGGAAUCUGCCCCUUGGUUCGGAAUAACAGUUGGAAACGACUGCUAAUACCGGAUGAUGACGAAAAGUCCAAAAGAUUUAUCGCCAAGGGAUGAGCCCGCGUAGGAUUAGCUAGUUGGUGAGGUAAAGGCUCACCAAGGCAACGAUCCUUAGCUGGUCUGAGAGGAUGAUCAGCCACACUGGGACUGAGACACGGCCCAGACUCCUACGGGAGGCAGCAGUAGGGAAUAUGGACAAUGGGCGAAAGCCUGAUCCAGCAAUGCCGCGUGAGUGAUGAAGGCCUUAGGUUGUAAAGCUCUUUACCCGAGAUGAUAAUGACAGUAUCGGAGAAUAAGCCCCGGACUAACUCCGUGCCAGCAGCCG
Molecule: ribosomal RNA, 444 nt
Filed under: uncultured soil bacterium
Lineage: Bacteria
Description: bacterial SSU rRNA
Rfam family: Bacterial small subunit ribosomal RNA
Source: RNAcentral